This is a long non-coding RNA of Dioscorea cayenensis subsp. rotundata (Guinea yam), 763 nucleotides long. RefSeq lists it as uncharacterized. NCBI's taxonomy places the organism in Eukaryota, Viridiplantae, Streptophyta, Magnoliopsida, Dioscoreales, Dioscoreaceae. The record is from RefSeq and is a predicted model, not a curated record. The transcript has 3 exons.
UUGAGUGCUUGUUUCUUGGUUUUCUUCUUUCUCACUCUCACAUCCUCUUCUCUUCUUAUUCCUUUCUACUCUUUGGAGAUUAAAGGUUGGGUUCGAAUGAUCUCUUGGACUUGAUAAAGGGGCUUAAAGAUCGAUCCAUUCUUUAGUCAAGGUGGUGAAUGUGGCUUGAGGGAAGGAGCCAGCGGCGGAGUAACACCCUUGUGGAGUUAAUCUCCUAAGUUGGUUUUAAUGGUGACCGGGCGGAUCUUUGCUCUACUACAGUAGACGGUCUUCACGACCAGCCUUGUGAGGUGGCUUGAAGACUUGAGUUUGUUGUCCAGUUCAGGUGUCACAUAGAAUCCUGAUUGGAUCCACAUCGGGAAUCUGGAGUUACCACAUGGAUUCUCAGUGGGCUAACGUCAAGAAUCAAGAUUAUGAAAACCUUGAUUACUCUCAACCUAGUCACGACGACAGCUAAGCUAGAGAGUGUCUUUAGGCUAUUGCUCAGUUCUUCGAGAUGAAAUAUUCAUAUUUGAGAAAGUUAUGGUUUUUAUGCAAACGAUAUUUUCGAGAUGUGAUAUCUUGUAUAUUCUUUGGAAAGAUUGUUGUUAUCUUGGAUUAUGAUGAGGGGGUGAAGCCCACCUGUCAUUCUAGAAGGGGUAGUCUCUCACAAUAUUUUAUUCUUUGAAAAAUUCAUUUGAUGAUGAGUUUUAUGUCUUAAUGUUUUCAAACUCAUGUUACGCAAAAUUUGGUAUUGGUGAUAGUUGGGAUCUUUAUUGAUCAA